This is a long non-coding RNA of Oncorhynchus tshawytscha (Chinook salmon), 1376 nucleotides long. Lineage: Eukaryota; Metazoa; Chordata; Actinopteri; Salmoniformes; Salmonidae. The record is from Ensembl.
CUUGUAGAUGCGCAUAAUAUGCUGCGACCCUAAUAAAACAGUAUUGAAUAAAUCAAAAUAACAAAAAGGUAACAAAUAGGUUGUUGUAACAUUUUAAGUUUAAACAUGUUUUUAAAAAAAGAGCUGUUCGCCAUCGAUCACCGGUGCAGUUGAACGCAGCAUUGCUGUAUGGCGCGCUCAAAAUGUAUUGUAGUUGAGGUGUCAACCUAGGCUACUGCUCAAAUAUAGUUGAAGUUGAAUCCACCGAAGCAAGUGCAUCAGGCUGUAAUUUCAUAAAGUAGAUGACUCAACUGUUGACUAAUACUUGCUUGUGUGUCCUAUUCGGCCUGCGGGCCUUGUGUGACACAUGUGCGCUAGCCUAUUAGCCAAGUUAUGACUGACUUCUGAUCAUUUCCCUUGGUAGUUUGAUUGUACUGACAUUCCCAGGCUAGUUACAGUCGUCCGUUAGUGUUCAAAAUAUUGAGUCAUUGAAACUGAGUGGGUGGAGGCAGCAAACUAUUUUAUAGGUGUGACUCAAUCCCCCUGCUCCAAAUGUGUAAUGACAACAGUCUGUAAAGACAGCUUACAGCACUCCAGUGGCCAGAGAGAAGACAGGAGACAGCCUGAAAUAGAAGCGCUCACAAAUAGACCCUUUUAGAGCCACAUAUGAGACCGGAGUCCGUGUCAAACUUUAACUGGGCACGUGGUGGUCUGGUCCUCAACCACAGAGCAUGAGGAUACAGCAGGGGAAAGCUGUGCAAUCCAGAACUUGUGGCAAUCUAGAACUUGUCAGCGAAGCAGAGGGGUUACACGUCUGCCCUUAUUGAGACCACUACUUCCAACGGACAGAAACAGGGCCCAAACCAAACCAUUUCAAAAAAUGGUCCAAGAGGAUCCACUUUGAGCUGAAAAUGUCUUCUGCCUUAGACUUUAGUGCUGCUUUUUAUGAAUCAAGCAAGCUAACAUGAUCUUUGCUAAAUGUUUUCCAGCCUUGACUGGUUUGAGUUCUGAACAUUGGCUAGGCCUCCUCGGGACAUUAAACAGAGUGGCAGCUUGACAGGUUUCUGCGGGUGGAGCUUUUCAACGUUAGUUGAAUUUCCAAUGUGUUAUCACUAUGCGUUCAACCAUCAAAAAGCACAACAAUGGAAAAACAAUGUUUGAUUUUUGGUGUAGUUGUCACCCAAAUGUCUGUCACUGUGCUUUCAAACAUUAAGAAGCACAGCAAAGUUGAAAUUGGAAUCCAAUGUCAGAUAUUUUGUUUAUUUAUACAACAGAUGGUGUUAUCACUGUGCUUUAUCUAAUAGCAGAAACAAAUGACCUGGAUUGGAGUUGAAAUUACAUUAAAAGUACAUGGUGCAAGCGAUCAAUGCCGUUUGAGAUUCUACGUAGCAGAUUAU